This 1372-nucleotide long non-coding RNA is filed under the name Anser cygnoides (Swan goose). RNAcentral's name for it is "lncRNA (ENSACDG00005008520.1)". The record is from RNAcentral. Lineage: Eukaryota; Metazoa; Chordata; Aves; Anseriformes; Anatidae.
GCUCCACAAGCCCAGCUCCCUCAGCCUCUCUUCCCAGCAGAGCUCCUGCAGCCUCUGGGCAUCCUCGCGGCCUCCCCACGUCCUUCUGGGGCUGGGGCCCUUCCUCUCCUCACUCCUGCAUUCAGCCCCUCUCUGCAGCACUCUUUGCUUUCCUCCUUUCCAGAUAAGGCAAGGAAACUGUGCAAAGACACAUCCGUGGAAUUCAUCGAGGCUUAUGUCCGCGGCACAGAAAAGGUAACGGCAACCGCUUGCAUCGCAGCCGUGCUCCUGGCGCUGCCACGGCUCUGCUGCGGGGCUGCUGGAGGGCUGCUGGCUGGGCAGAGCCGUGGCCUCCGGGCGUCCCACACAGCUCCAGACCCCUCAAGGCUUUGGUCCUGCUGGCCGUGGGUGUCCCCCUAACGCUCUGUUGGUGUCUUUGUGGCUGCCAGGACAAGGAGGCGCAGAAGAUGCUGUUCCUCAGCAAAAUCUGCGCUCUGUGCAGAACUGUUUCGGAGAAGGGCUUGACGCUGGACUUGCAUGCCUUCUGCCGCAAAAAUAAGCUGGUGGAGAACAUCAUGGUGAGAGGAUGUGCGGCGGGUUGGGGAAGGGGCAAGACCCCCGGCACCAGCCCCCUGGGAGGCCGGGGCUGGGGCAGCGCUGGCUCUGCUGGUGCUGGGUGCCGGCGGCUGCAAGGUCUCAUCCCGCUUGUGCUCUGCAGGCGCUGCUGGAAAAGGAGCCCAUGGACAGCUUGCGCACAGAAUUUCGGCAGAAGGCCAUGGAGACCAUCGCCGUCCUCAGCAACACCGUGCCGAGAGCACUGCACGGCAAAAAGGAGAGUCUCCGGAACGCGUGCUACAGGAGCGUCUUCUUUCUGCCUCCGGAGUCGGAUGUGCCAGAGACAGAAAGAGCGCUCUACACCAAGGUAUGUGCUGGGCGAGGUACCGGCACCCCCAGUCCUGCUGAGCUGCUGCCUUGCUUCCCCGUGCUGAGACAACUGGAGACCAGUGCAGGGCCGGGGCCCAGAUUUGCUUUCCCAGCCUCAUCCCUUCUUCCCCUUCCCCUUCCCUGGCCUGAUCCUGUGCUGCAGGAGGUCUGCACGCAGCAGCUUUUUAGCCCCAAAGCCACCCCUGGGCUCCAGAGGGGCUCAGAGCCAGCUCCUGGGGCUGAGAAGGGCCACAGAAAUAAUUCAGUGAUCAUCUGUCCUCCUUGCAGACUAUGAAUGCCAUGGACCCCAUGCUGGCGGCCUUCGUACGCAACUGUCCCACCGCCAGCAUCAGCGCAGAGUUGCAGAAUAUCUUGGAGGUUUGGCAUUUGCAAAGAAUUUCCAAAGAAUCCUCUCAGGUCACAUUUGCAGACCCCUGUCAGCCCAGCAACUUCUCUCCUUGCAGGUGCU